Molecule: ribosomal RNA, 254 nt
Filed under: uncultured bacterium
Lineage: Bacteria
Description: partial 16S ribosomal RNA
Rfam family: Bacterial small subunit ribosomal RNA
Source: RNAcentral
UACGGGGGGAGCAAGCGUUGUUCGGAUUUACUGGGCGUAAAGGGCGGGUAGGCGGCCACCGCAGGUCAGUUGUGAAAUCUCUGGGCUUAACCCAGAAAGGUCAACUGAUACUGCGGGGCUAGAGUGCAGAAGGGGCAACUGGAAUUCUCGGUGUAGCGGUGAAAUGCGUAGAUAUCGAGAGGAACACCUGCGGCGAAGGCGGGUUGCUGGGCUGACACUGACGCUGAACUGCGAAAGCUAGGGGAGCGAACGGG